ACUUCCAGGCAGGGCCUCGAGGAAGUAGGUGAGCUUCUCCAUCCCUGUCUGUCUAGAUGCAGAGAACCCAAAGCCCUGCAGGAUGGCAAAGCUGCAACAUGGAAGUCACCCGGAUCACCACGUAAAGGAAAUCUCUCCAACCAGGAACAAACACCUGCCUUGCAAUAUUAGGUCCUUCCUAGGGCUUGGUGCAUGUGCAUAUCUCCUUCCGGAAUCCUGGUCAAUACUAAGGUAAGAUGAAAAAACUGCGGGUUUGGGAUAAGCAGGAAAAAAGAAGCAAACUCUCUUAGUGGCGGAACUUACUGAAGUUAAGCUUCGAGUCUGUAUUGGUCAGGACUCUUGGUUGCAAGUGACAGAAUCCCAACUCUGUUAGUGUGGUUAAAGGUUAAGCUGCUGUAACAAAGAUGCCCAGCAGUGCAGUGACUUAAAGAAGACAAAAGUUUACUUCUUUUUCAACUGCGCUGCCAAGUUGUCAAGGCAGCUAUGAUCCAGGGGGCCACUCAGAGACCCAGGUUUCUUCAUAGUGCA
This 528-nucleotide long non-coding RNA is filed under the name Homo sapiens (human). Its description in RNAcentral is "non-protein coding lnc-ADA-3:21". Lineage: Eukaryota; Metazoa; Chordata; Mammalia; Primates; Hominidae. The record is from RNAcentral.